GAAAUGCGAUAAGUAAUGUGAAUUGCAGAAUUCAGUGAAUCAUCGAAUCUUUGAACGCACAUUGCGCCCUCUGGUAUUCCGGGGGGCAUGCCUGUCCGAGCGUCAUUACUGCCCUCAAGCGCGGCUUGUGUGUUGGGCGCCGUCCCCUUCCCGGGGGACGGGCCCGAAAGGCAGUGGCGGCGCCGUGUCCGGUCCUCGAGCGUAUGGGGCUUUGUCACCCGCUCCGGAGGCCCGGCCGGUCGCCGCCGAUCCAACCCAAACUUUUUACCGGUUGACCUCGGAUCAGGCAGGGAUACCCGCUGAACUUAA
Molecule: unclassified non-coding RNA, 309 nt
Filed under: uncultured Arachnomyces
Lineage: Eukaryota; Fungi; Ascomycota; Eurotiomycetes; Onygenales
Description: sequence contains ITS1
Rfam family: 5.8S ribosomal RNA (bases 1-105)
Source: RNAcentral